RNAcentral lists this ribosomal RNA (834 nucleotides) under bacterium enrichment culture clone bHCH6_F9. Its description in RNAcentral is "bacterial SSU rRNA". It matches the Rfam family "Bacterial small subunit ribosomal RNA", at positions 45 to 889 of the family's 1533-position model. The record is from RNAcentral.
GGCCUAACACAUGGCAAGUCCGAGCGAGGGGAGUUCUUCGGAACAAAACCUAGCGGCGGACGGGUGAGUAACACGUGGGCAACCUGCCUCAAAGAGGGGAAUAGCCUCCCGAAAGGGAGAUUAAUACCGCAUAAAGUUAUUUUUUCGCAUGAAGAGAUAACCAAAGGAGCAAUCCGCUUUGAGAUGGGCCCGCGGCGCAUUAGCUAGUUGGUGAGGUAACGGCUCACCAAGGCGACGAUGCGUAGCCGACCUGAGAGGGUGAUCGGCCACAUUGGAACUGAGACACGGUCCAGACUCCUACGGGAGGCAGCAGUGGGGAAUAUUGCGCAAUGGGGGAAACCCUGACGCAGCAACGCCGCGUGAGCGAUGAAGGUCUUCGGAUUGUAAAGCUCUGUCUUUUGGGACGAUAAUGACGGUACCAAAGGAGGAAGCCACGGCUAACUACGUGCCAGCAGCCGCGGUAAUACGUAGGUGGCAAGCGUUGUCCGGAUUUACUGGGCGUAAAGAGUAUGUAGGCGGACAUUUAAGUCAGAUGUGAAAUUCCCGGGCUUAACCUGGGAGCUGCAUUUGAUACUGGGUGUCUAGAGUGCAGGAGAGGAAAGUGGAAUUCCUAGUGUAGCGGUGAAAUGCGUAGAGAUUAGGAAGAACACCAGUGGCGAAGGCGACUUUUCUGGACUGUAACUGGCGCUGAGAUACGAAAGCGUGGGGAGCAAAACAGGAUUAGAUACCCUGGUAGUCCACGCCGUAACGAUGAAUACUAGGUGUCGGAGGGUACCACCUUUCGGUGCCGCAGCAAACGCAAUAAGUAAUUCCGCCUGGGGGAGUACGGGUCGC